UAAUUUCUGGAAUAUACGCUAGGCUCUAUAUUUUGAACCUACAUCAUAAUUACGGGAGUUCAAUAUUUAGAUAUGAAUUUGACCUAUAAGAACCAAAACAUUGGCAAGGACAAGAAGUAUCUGUGAGGACACCCACCUAUCAGAAGAUAGGGUGUCAAAAUUGGGGCUACGGUAUUUUGGAUUAUAA
This 187-nucleotide non-coding RNA is filed under the name Clostridium niameyense. Its description in RNAcentral is "6S / SsrS RNA". It matches the Rfam family "6S / SsrS RNA". Rfam says of the family: E. coli 6S RNA was the first non coding RNA to be sequenced, but its function was unknown until recently. The record is from Rfam by way of RNAcentral. Lineage: Bacteria; Bacillati; Bacillota; Clostridia; Eubacteriales; Clostridiaceae.